AAAAAAAACUGCAUAUACUGAUCAACCUUGGGAUGGCUCAUAACAAAUCAUCAGGUUGGCAAACAUUUGGCUCCGCAGACAUUCCCUGUUUCCCUGUCUUCAGCCACAUGAGCUCGCGGUCAUGACCUGGGUGCUCUAGAGCCACAGUGAAUGCUUUCAGUUUCCCCAGCCAUCCUGAAGAGCAGAGGCUGCGCACACGCAAGAGGGAAUCUUAUAGUUUUCCUUGAGCUCCAAGACUCACGCCACUGUGUUAAGCAUUUGAGGCCAGCAUUCCUAAGGCUAUUUAUGCAUUUCAUGCUGAUUAGUAAUUCCUGGAAUCCAGCUACUUCACACAAGGUGGUGGAAAACCAGCAGCUGUUCAGUGCCUUCAAGGCCUUGCUGGAGGACUUCCGUGCAGAGCUGCGGGAGGACGAGCGUGCCCGACUACGGCUGCAGCAGCAAUAUGCCAGCGACAAGGCGGCCUGGGACGUGGAGUGGGCCGUGCUCAAGUGCCGUCUGGAACAGCUGGAAGAGAAGACUGAGAACAAGUUGGGAGAACUAGGCUCCUCCGCUGAGAGCAAGGGGGCCUUG
Molecule: small RNA, 570 nt
Filed under: Pan troglodytes (chimpanzee)
Lineage: Eukaryota; Metazoa; Chordata; Mammalia; Primates; Hominidae
Description: processed transcript
Source: RNAcentral